RNAcentral lists this transfer RNA (77 nucleotides) under Pseudoxanthomonas kalamensis DSM 18571. RNAcentral describes it as "tRNA-Arg". It matches the Rfam family "tRNA". From Rfam's summary of the family: Transfer RNA (tRNA) molecules are approximately 80 nucleotides in length. The record is from RNAcentral. RNAcentral also lists the same sequence under 3 other names. Lineage: Bacteria; Pseudomonadati; Pseudomonadota; Gammaproteobacteria; Lysobacterales; Lysobacteraceae.
GGCCCCGUAGCUCAGCUGGAUAGAGCGCGCCCCUCCUAAGGGCGAGGUCACACGUUCGAAUCGUGUCGGGGUCGCCA